Molecule: ribosomal RNA, 467 nt
Filed under: uncultured bacterium
Lineage: Bacteria
Description: partial 16S ribosomal RNA
Rfam family: Bacterial small subunit ribosomal RNA
Source: RNAcentral
GAUGAACGCUGGCGGCGUGCUUAACACAUGCAAGUCGAACGGAAAGGCCCAAGCUUGCUUGGGUACUCGAGUGGCGAACGGGUGAGUAACACGUGGGUGGUCUGCCCUGCACUUCGGGAUAAGCCUGGGAAACUGGGUCUAAUACCGGAUAGGACCACAUUUUGGAUGGUGUGGUGGAAAGUUUUUCGGUGUGGGAUGAGCUCGCGGCCUAUCAGCUUGUUGGUGGGGUAAUGGCCUACCAAGGCGUCGACGGGUAGCCGGCCUGAGAGGGUGUACGGCCACAUUGGGACUGAGAUACGGCCCAGACUCCUACGGGAGGCAGCAGUGGGGAAUAUUGCACAAUGGGCGCAAGCCUGAUGCAGCGACGCCGCGUGGGGGAUGACGGCCUUCGGGUUGUAAACUCCUUUCGCUAGGGACGAAGCGUUUUUGUGACGGUACCUGGAGAAGAAGCACCGGCUAACUACGUG